RNAcentral lists this ribosomal RNA (455 nucleotides) under Arthrobacter sp. RNAcentral describes it as "bacterial SSU rRNA". It matches the Rfam family "Bacterial small subunit ribosomal RNA", at positions 21 to 478 of the family's 1533-position model. Lineage: Bacteria; Bacillati; Actinomycetota; Actinomycetes; Micrococcales; Micrococcaceae. The record is from RNAcentral.
GGCUCAGGAUGAACGCUGGCGGCGUGCUUAACACAUGCAAGUCGAACGAUGAUCUUCACUUGUGGGGGGAUUAGUGGCGAACGGGUGAGUAACACGUGAGUAACCUGCCCUUGACUCUGGGAUAAGCCUGGGAAACCGGGUCUAAUACUGGAUACGACCUUCUGGCGCAUGCCAUGUUGGUGGAAAGCUUUGGUGGUUUUGGAUGGACUCGCGGCCUAUCAGCUUGUUGGUGGGGUAAUGGCCUACCAAGGCGACGACGGGUAGCCGGCCUGAGAGGGUGACCGGCCACACUGGGACUGAGACACGGCCCAGACUCCUACGGGAGGCAGCAGUGGGGAAUAUUGCACAAUGGGCGCAAGCCUGAUGCAGCGACGCCGCGUGGGGGAUGAAGGCCUUCGGGUUGUAAACCUCUUUCAGUAGGGAAGAAGCUGGCCUUUUGGGGUUGGUGACGGUAC